GUGUGUGUGUGUGUGUGUGGGUAGUGGGCUUUACUUACCUGCAGGUUGAGGACAAGAAAGCUCACAGAGGAAGAGGGGCUAGAUAAAACCCUGCCCUGGGGAGGGGAGGAGGAGCAGGAAAGCUGGGGAAAUACAGGGUCUCCAGGGCUUUCCCUCAUUUGCUUUUGCUCUCACCCUGGGCCUUGCAUUGACUCUGGACUUCAGCUAAGGUAUUAAUCAGAAGUUCAAAGGAAUUGAGUUCCACCUCCAUCAGGAUCACAAACAAUCCUGCCAUUCAGUGCCUCACCCCUGACCUCAAGUUCUGUCCCAAUUCCAGGGGCAGGUUGGGGGUGGAAUCAAUUAGGAUAGAAAAAGAGGUAGGAGGUGAAUGGGCAAAUAAGCUCAUAGUUCAUUUUCCCUACCACUAUUCUUUCCACUCCAAUUCCCUCAUCCCACAAACUGAGGACAUAACGGGCUCUUCUGCUGAGCCAGGAGGCGUGGGAUUUGAUGAUUAGAACAAGGUCUAGGAGUUAUAUAUCCCAAACCUAGGACACGGGGCGAUGGUGAAGGGAAGAAGCUAGGGCGGAAAGCUAAAGGGUGCCAUACGACAUAACUCUUCCUGCCAGGUGAAGAGGUCCCAGUGUGAAAGGAGAGGUCAGUGUAGGUAGGCCUUGGAGUCAGCUCUCACCCUCAUAUGUCCAGUGAUCAUCUGCAAGGCAGAGGGAUUUGAGUUACCGCCCGCCUGGGGCAGGGCCCUCCGGGGCGUCUGUACCCUCCACCUCCCUCUCUGCUCCGGCGCUCUCCUCCCUCCGCUCCAGCACUUCCCAAAGGAAGCCCUGAAACUGGAUACCUCAGUGGAAAGGUCGGAGAGGUCGGGGGCCUAUUUAAAAUCGCCAGCCAGGCUGUGCCUGUGCCUGCUGUGGAAAGGGGGAGGAGAAAUGAAAAGAGAUAAAGGCCGGAGACUAAAAUUAACCUGGACCCAAACGCGCAGUCCACCCAACCCUCACUUUCUCCAGCCUGUGCCAAGCCAAUCGAACACCGAGAACGUCCGGGGCUCCCUUCACCACUCUCCUCCCGCCAAGCCUGGGUAAGGACACCAGCACCGACCCCGACACUCAGGUGUACCUACCCCCGAG
Long non-coding RNA from Pipistrellus kuhlii (Kuhl's pipistrelle), 1115 nucleotides. RefSeq lists it as uncharacterized. The transcript is spliced from 4 exons. The record is from RefSeq and is a predicted model, not a curated record. Lineage: Eukaryota; Metazoa; Chordata; Mammalia; Chiroptera; Vespertilionidae.